Molecule: transfer RNA, 76 nt
Filed under: Cnemaspis neangthyi
Lineage: Eukaryota; Metazoa; Chordata; Lepidosauria; Squamata; Gekkonidae
Also listed under: 1 other name
Description: tRNA-Asn
Source: RNAcentral
UAGGCCAAGGCCCGCUGGCUUGAGGCAGCUAAUUGUUAAUUAGUGUUAUUUGUGGGAUCGAGGCCCACUGGUCUAG